UGAUAUGUGCUAUAAUCAAUGACGUAGAAAAGUUAAUGACGGUGGCGGGAUUUAAUCGAAAGUGAGGUGGUGCGCAUUAGUGUACAACCUAAAUCUGGAGAAAGGAGCCAGCCUUUUGCUUGAGACUAUUCUAGCAGUGAUGGUUGCAGUUGUCGGUUUAAUUACCGCAAUUGUUCAACUUGU
This 183-nucleotide small RNA is filed under the name Trichococcus flocculiformis. RNAcentral describes it as "Listeria sRNA rli28". It matches the Rfam family "Listeria sRNA rli28". The record is from RNAcentral. Lineage: Bacteria; Bacillati; Bacillota; Bacilli; Lactobacillales; Carnobacteriaceae.